AUUGAACGCUGGCGGCAGGCCUAACACAUGCAAGUCGAGCGGAGCGGCGGACGGGUGAGUAAUGUCUGGGAAACUGCCUGAUGGAGGGGGAUAACUACUGGAUACGGUAGCUAAUACCGCAUACUAUCAGAUGAGCCUAGGUCGGAUUAGCUAGUUGGUGGGGUAAAGGCCUACCAAGGCGACGAUCCGUAACUGGUCUGAGAGGAUGAACAGUAACACUGGAACGGAGACGCGGUCCAGACUCCUACGGUAGGCAGCAGGGGGUAAGAUUGGACAAUGGGCGAAAGCCUGAUCCAGCCAUGCCGCGUGUGUGAAGAAGGUCUUCGGAUUGGAAAGCACUUUAAGUUGGGAGGCGUUACCAACAGAAUAAGCACCGGCUAACUUCGUGCCAGCAGCCGCGGUAAUUC
Molecule: ribosomal RNA, 407 nt
Filed under: uncultured bacterium
Lineage: Bacteria
Description: partial 16S ribosomal RNA
Rfam family: Bacterial small subunit ribosomal RNA
Source: RNAcentral